This 497-nucleotide ribosomal RNA is filed under the name uncultured bacterium. RNAcentral describes it as "partial 16S ribosomal RNA". It matches the Rfam family "Bacterial small subunit ribosomal RNA", at positions 28 to 507 of the family's 1533-position model. The record is from RNAcentral.
GAUGAACGCUGGCGGCGUGCCUAAUACAUGCAAGUCGAGCGAACGGACGAGAAGCUUGCUUCUCUGAUGUUAGCGGCGGACGGGUGAGUAACACGUGGAUAACCUACCUAUAAGACUGGGAUAACUUCGGGAAACCGGAGCUAAUACCGGAUAAUAUUUUGAACCGCAUGGUUCAAAAGUGAAAGACGGUCUUGCUGUCACUUAUAGAUGGAUCCGCGCUGCAUUAGCUAGUUGGUAAGGUAACGGCUUACCAAGGCAACGAUGCAUAGCCGACCUGAGAGGGUGAUCGGCCACACUGGAACUGAGACACGGCCCAGACUCCUACGGUAGGCAGCAGUAGGGAAUCUUCCGCAAUGGGCGAAAGCCUGACGGAGCAACGCCGCGUGAGUGAUGAAGGUCUUCGGAUCGUAAAACUCUGUUAGUAGGGAAGAACAUAUGUGUAAGUAACUGUGCACAUCUUGACGGUACCUAAUCAGAAAGCCACGGCUAACUACGUG